This 460-nucleotide ribosomal RNA is filed under the name uncultured bacterium. Its description in RNAcentral is "partial 16S ribosomal RNA". It matches the Rfam family "Bacterial small subunit ribosomal RNA", at positions 338 to 795 of the family's 1533-position model. The record is from RNAcentral.
CCUACGGGAGGCAGCAGUGAGGAAUAUUGGUCAAUGGCCGGAAGGCUGAACCAGCCAUGCCGCGUGAAGGUCAGUGCCCUAUGGGCGUUAAACUUCUUUUGUGCGGGAGCAAUAAUGGUCACGUGUGGCCAGACGAGAGUACCGUACGAAUAAGCAUCGGCUAACUCCGUGCCAGCAGCCGCGGUAAUACGGGGGAUGCAAGCGUUAUCCUGAUUUAUUGGGUUUAAAGGGUGCGUAGGCUGUGAGGUAAGUCAGCGGUGAAAUGCCCCCGCUCAACGGGGUGAAGUGCCAUUGAUACUGCCUUGCUGGAAUGCGGAUGCCGUGGGAGGAAUGUGUGGUGUAGCGGUGACAUGCAUAGAUAUCACACAGAACACCGAUUGCGAAGGCAUCUCACGAAUCCGCGAUUGACGCUGAUGCACGAAAGCGUGGGUAUCAAACAGGAUUAGAUACCCGUGUAGUC